GGCGGUGGUUAUAGCGGCAAGGGUAUACGCCCGGUCUCCUUUUCGAACCCGGUAGCUAAGGUUGUUUGCGCUGAUGGUACUGCACUCGGUGGGGUGUGGGAGAGUAGGUCACUGCCGCCA
Non-coding RNA from Actinotignum schaalii, 120 nucleotides. The record is from Rfam. Lineage: Bacteria; Bacillati; Actinomycetota; Actinomycetes; Actinomycetales; Actinomycetaceae.